Long non-coding RNA from Ailuropoda melanoleuca (giant panda), 809 nucleotides. RefSeq lists it as uncharacterized. The record is from RefSeq and is a predicted model, not a curated record. The transcript is spliced from 3 exons. NCBI's taxonomy places the organism in Eukaryota, Metazoa, Chordata, Mammalia, Carnivora, Ursidae.
ACCACAAUCGAGGAAUCAAGGGUGCUGCAGCUGCGGUGUUGCGGAUGUGCCGCAGCAAGUGGCGCGCAAACGGGACCACAAGCAGGGACCUGAGCAGGGACCUGGAACAAGGAUCUGAAACUACAGCAGAGAAGGAGCCCCAACGGGUAAAGAACCAAGGCCUUGGACAUUUCCCGCUGUCUACGUUGUUAGCCACACCGAGACGGCGAAGAUACCCACCUGGGGUCAGAUCAAGAAGUUGACCCAGAGAGCGGAAGAAGUGCUGCGUAGUGAACAGCAGCCCUUUACCCCUAGCAAUAUGGCUGUUACUAUGAUGGCCUUAUUGACGGUAGCCUCCUCAGAUGCCAAAGAAGAGCCUUCUGACGAGUGAUGAAGUGCGAAGUGGCCAAGUCCGCCUACCUGCUUCUGCAAAAAGAAAAAGGGGGAGAUGCAGCAGCCACUGGCUGAAGACUUAUGUUAGGGAUAUAAUAGGAAAGACAUGUUUUCUGGUGACCUUGCGGGCUUCAUUGUUAAGCCAAGGAUCAAGUGGCCGGGAAGGCCCGUUCGCAAGCAGUCGGGAAUGCUCGGCUCCUCUAGCGGCCCGGAACGCCCAGCCUGCCCGCCAGUUGGAAACACCCAGCUGUUUUGGGGCAGAACACUGCUGAAAUCUGAUUGCCCUUGGCUUGACGAUGGCCCUUGGGGCCCCUAGAAACAUGUUUAAGAAUAGGCCCCACUUACUAAAUGUUACAUCACCUGAUCCCCUGGCCUUCUCCUGAUGUGCCACCAUCCCCUGACCUUCCCAGUGAUCAUGACGCACCAUCCCGUGACCC